This 561-nucleotide ribosomal RNA is filed under the name Triticum aestivum (bread wheat). RNAcentral's name for it is "partial small subunit ribosomal RNA". Lineage: Eukaryota; Viridiplantae; Streptophyta; Magnoliopsida; Poales; Poaceae. The record is from RNAcentral.
AUGAACCUUCCUUCUGCUCCUCCUAUGUCUCUCUGGGGCAUUUCAACAAGCACCUUCUGUGCAUAUAAGGCAAGGAGGCGACGACAAGGGAAGAGCGACCUCCUGCACAGCACUCACCACGACCACCUGCGCGGCGGCCUCCUUCCAGCUCACGGCUGCGCUCAUGACCUGCCACGCGAGCUGGAGAUGAGCGGCUGCGCCGCCAGCACCGUCGCUGGCUUCCUCUGUCGCCGCCGUCGCCGACGCGGCGAUGGCGACCAGGAAGACCGCGGCGAGGCAGAGGCGGAAGAGGAGUGUGGCGAGGAAGACGAACAGCAGGACGCCCUGCAUGAACGACUCCACGCCGCCGGUGUCCGAGUGACUCGAGCUGUACAUGUACCAAGAGUCAAGAUAAUACGUCGGGACGGCCGUGGACGCGAGCUCCACGGCGGUGACCAGCGCGGCGCCGGCGAAGAGGCCGGGGUGUGCCGCGGACGAGCUCGGCCGGUCACCGCGAAGCAUGGCGCAGGCGGCGAGCGCGACGUCGGACAGAGUCGCGAGCUUGCUGGCGAGGUACGCUAG